RNAcentral lists this ribosomal RNA (433 nucleotides) under uncultured bacterium. Its description in RNAcentral is "partial 16S ribosomal RNA". It matches the Rfam family "Bacterial small subunit ribosomal RNA", at positions 29 to 507 of the family's 1533-position model. The record is from RNAcentral.
AACGAACGCUGGCGGCAUGCCUAACACAUGCAAGUCGAACGAUCCCUUCGGGGAUAGUUGCUCACGGGUGCGUAACGCGGGGGAACCUGCCCUUAUGUUCGGAAUAACUCAUAUAAAUUUGAGCUAAUACCGGAUAAUGUCUUCUGACCAAAGAUUUAUCGACUUUGGAUGCGCCCGCGUUGUUUUAGCUUGUUGGUGGGGUAAAGGCCUAAGAAGGCUACGAUCCAUAGCUGGUAAGAGAGGAAGAUCAGCGACACUGGGAGUGAGAAACGGCCCAGAAUAUUACGGGAGGGAGGCGAGGGGAAUACUGGAAAACGGCGGGAAGGAAGAACGAGCUAGGCCGGGUGAGUGCUGAAGGCGGUAGGGUAGUAAAGCAGUUUAACACGGGAUGAUAAUGACAGUACCGAGAGAAUAAGCACCGGCUAACUCCGUG